GAUGAAGAACGUAGCGAAAUGCGAUAAGUAGUGUGAAUUGCAGAAUUCAGUGAAUCAUCGAAUCUUUGAACGCACAUUGCGCCCCUUGGUAUUCCAUGGGGCAUGCCUGUUCGAGCGUCAUUUGUACCUUCAAGCUUUGCUUGGUGUUGGGUGUUUGUCUCGCCUUUGCGUGUAGACUCGCCUUAAAAUAAUUGGCAGCCGGCGUAUUGAUUUCGGAGCGCAGUACAUCUCGCGCUUUGCACUCAUAACGACAGCGUCCAAAAGUUCAUUUUACACUCUUGACCUCGGAUCAGGUAGGGAUACCCGCUGAACUUAAGCAUAUCAAUAAGCGGAGGA
RNAcentral lists this unclassified non-coding RNA (336 nucleotides) under soil metagenome. Its description in RNAcentral is "partial contains 5.8S ribosomal RNA, internal transcribed spacer 2, and large subunit ribosomal RNA". The stretch from base 1 to 120 matches the Rfam family "5.8S ribosomal RNA", at positions 35 to 154 of the family's 154-position model. The record is from RNAcentral.